RNAcentral lists this long non-coding RNA (1658 nucleotides) under Sus scrofa (pig). RNAcentral's name for it is "lncRNA (ENSSSCG00045000678.1)". The record is from RNAcentral. Lineage: Eukaryota; Metazoa; Chordata; Mammalia; Artiodactyla; Suidae.
CUACUCUACCCAGCCGGCACCGCUCGGUUAGCUGACGCUGAGGUAGCCGGGGAGGUGCGUCCCGUCGGUCCCCCGCCCCAGAGCGGCCGCAGUCCCGGCUCCCGGAGUGGUGGUCCCUGCCCCGUCCAGAGAAUAACAUGGGGAGGCCGAGGAGCCUGCGCUGCGGCGGACGACCAGCCCCGCCGGCGGUCGCUGAGGCUGGGGUUCCAAUGCCAGUCUUCCAGUGCCAGUGCUGCUUCCCAGCCCACACAUCCCUCUCACCACUGCUGCAUCCUAAGGAAGUCAGCAACCUUCAGGGGGUACUUGUUCCUAGAGCCAGAGUAGAGGAGGGUGGCGCUUCCAAGGCUGUGGGCAUCCAAAGAAAGAGUGCUGUCCAUCCUCCUCCUGCCUACUGAUCUCCCAUCAGCAGAACCCCACUGGAGACCUACUGGCAGCUUUUUUUAGGGCCGCUCUCGAAUCAGAGCUACAGCUGCCAGCUUAUAUCACAGCUACAGCAACAUAGGAUCCAAGCUAUGUCUGCGACCUACAAUGCGGCUCACGGCAACGCGGGAUCUCUAACCCACUGAGCAAAGCCAGGGAUCAAAACUACAUCCUCAUGGGUACUAGUCAGAUUCAUUUCCACUACACCACAACAGGAACUCCCUACAUUUGUUUUGUGGUAACAAUUACCUGGUAAAUUUCCAUCUUCCAAUAGAGUUGUGCUACUCUCUUUCACAGUUUUCUUACUGUAUUUUUGAGUAGGUAUUGUGCAUAUAACUUUCAUGGUCCUCAAAAUUAAAUCCUCUGUUAUUAUUAGGAGGUGAAGAGAAGGACCCGGAGAGCUUUAUAGAAUUAGUUCUCAUGGGCUCUUUCCUCCGUUGCUAUAGCAAAAAAAAAAAAAAAAAAAAAAAAGUAUUUCCUUAAAAUACAGCAACUCUGUGAAGUCAUGCUUCCUGUGCCUCCAGGUACCUAACCAGGCUCUGAAAAGCUUCUACGUAUAGUUCUCAACUUCCUGAUUUAUUCACACACUGCAGAGACCCAGGCUUUGCCUUACAAAAUAAUAUGAUCACUUUUAGAAAGUUAUUACUGGUGGUUUCUAAGAUCUACUAUCUCUGAUUAGGCACUUCGUAUCUUUCUCUCUCUUUAGUGUUUAGACCCUAAUCAAUCUCAGUUCUUUCCCAGAAUGUCCUCUUGAAUUCCUACAUAGAUUUGCUGCACAGUGCUUAUGGUCUCAGUUGCUGACUACAGCAUUGACUGUAAUUUUGGAGUGUUGGGGUUUUGUUAGUCAGCUGUUUGCUGAAAAUUCAUUUUCUGUGACCUUAUUUUUUUUCUUCUUGUUGUUCUGGAUAGAUUUCAGGAGAAGGAAUGAAAAGUUUCAGAACUUAACAGACUCCCAUGUUCUCAUAGAAUGAUGAUAUAAUUUAUUUUUCUCCCAUGUUCUCAAAAGAAAUGAAAAAAUUCUCUGGAAGUACUAUGAUUAUUGGCUUUAGAUAAUGAACGAGAAUGUUCUAGUUAUCACCAGCCUAAUUCAAGCCAAUUAUAUAGAUUUUUCAUACCUACUAUAACAUUAAGGCUAUGUCUAGAAGAUAAUGUCACAAAGUAAUUUAAUGGAAAAUCAUUUAAGGCCUACAGUUCAGAUAAAUUAAGUUUUAAGCAAAAGAGGUUCUGAAAGAAGUAGA